UACGAAGGGAGCUAGCGUUGUUCGGAAUCACUGGGCGUAAAGCGCACGUAGGCGGAUGUGUCAGUCAGGGGUGAAAUCCCGGAGCUCAACUUCGGAACUGCCCUUGAUACAGCACGUCUCGAGUCCGAGAGAGGUGAGUGGAAUUCCUAGUGUAGAGGUGAAAUUCGUGGAUAUUAGGAAGAACACCAGUGGCGAAGGCGGCUCACUGGCUCGGUACUGACGCUGAGGUGCGAAAGCGUGGGGAGCAAACAGG
RNAcentral lists this ribosomal RNA (253 nucleotides) under uncultured bacterium. Its description in RNAcentral is "partial 16S ribosomal RNA". It matches the Rfam family "Bacterial small subunit ribosomal RNA", at positions 524 to 776 of the family's 1533-position model. The record is from RNAcentral.